Molecule: ribosomal RNA, 406 nt
Filed under: uncultured bacterium
Lineage: Bacteria
Description: partial 16S ribosomal RNA
Rfam family: Bacterial small subunit ribosomal RNA
Source: RNAcentral
AUUGAACGCUGGCGGCAGGCUUAACACAUGCAAGUCGAACGAGUGGCGGACGGGUGAGUAAUGCUUGGGAAUCUACCUUAUGGAGGGGGAUAACUACUGGAAACUGUAGCUAAUACCGCGUACCAUCGGAUGUGCCCAAGUGGGAUUAGCUAGUUGGUGGGGUAAAGGCUCACCAAGCCGACGAUCCCUAGCUGGUCUGAGAGGAUGACCAGCCACACGGGGACUGAGACACGGCCCAGACUCCUACGGGAGGCAGCAGUGGGGAAUAUUGCGCAAUGGGGGCAACCCUGACGCAGCCAUGCCGCGUGAAUGAAGAAGGCCUUCGGGUUGUAAAGUUCUUUCGGUGGCGAGGCGUUAACUACAGAAGAAGCACCGGCUAACUCCGUGCCAGCAGCCGCGGUAAUAC